AGCUCCAAUAGCGUAUACUAAAGUUGUUGCAGUUAAAAGCUCGUAGUUGGAUUUCUGCGCUGGGAGGGAGGCAUGUGCGCACUACGCGUUUUAUGUUGACUUCCCGUGCAUCCUGUCACGAUCCACGUUACUCUUAAUUGAGUGGUGUCGGGGAUUGACUCGUUUACUUUGAGAAAAAUAGAGUGUUCAAAGCAGGUAAUUUGCCUUGAAUAAGUUAGCAUGGAAUAAUGAUAAAGGACUUCGGUUCUAUUUGUUGGUGUUCGGAACGGAAGUAAUGAUUGAUAGGGACAGUUGGGGGCAUCAGUAUUCCCAAGCGAGAGGUGAAAUUCUAGGACCUCGGGAAGACUAACUGCUGCGAAAGCGUUUGCCAAGGAUGUUCCCU
RNAcentral lists this ribosomal RNA (382 nucleotides) under uncultured eukaryote. Its description in RNAcentral is "SSU rRNA". It matches the Rfam family "Eukaryotic small subunit ribosomal RNA", at positions 587 to 972 of the family's 1831-position model. The record is from RNAcentral.